Molecule: ribosomal RNA, 253 nt
Filed under: uncultured bacterium
Lineage: Bacteria
Description: partial 16S ribosomal RNA
Rfam family: Bacterial small subunit ribosomal RNA
Source: RNAcentral
UACGGAGGGGGCGAGCGUUGUUCGGAAUCACUGGGUGUAAAGGGUGCGUAGGCGGUCCGUUAAGUCUGAUGUGAAAUCCCUGGGCUCAACUCAGGAACUGCAUUGGAAACUGGCAGGCUGGAGUACCGGAGAGGGAAGCGGAAUUCCUGGUGUAGCGGUGAAAUGCGCAGAUAUCAGGAGGAACACCGGUGGCGAAGGCGGGUCUCUGGGCAACUACUGACGCUGAGGAGCGAAAGCGUGGGGAGCGAACAGG